UACAGAGGGUGCAAACGUUGCUCGGAAUCAUUGGGCGUAAAGCGCACGUAGGCGGUCGAAUAAGUCGGAUGUGAAAGCCCCGAGCUCAACUCGGGAAGUGCAUACGAAACUGUACGACUUGAAUAUGGAAGAGGGUCGCGGAAUUCCCGGUGUAGAGGUGAAAUUCGUAGAUAUUCGCAAGAACACCAGUGGCGAAGGCGGCUCACUGGCCCGGAACUGACGCUGAGACGCGAAAGCGUGGGGAGCAAACAGG
Molecule: ribosomal RNA, 253 nt
Filed under: uncultured bacterium
Lineage: Bacteria
Description: partial 16S ribosomal RNA
Rfam family: Bacterial small subunit ribosomal RNA
Source: RNAcentral